AGCAGUAGGGAAUCUUCCACAAUGGACGCAAGUCUGAUGGAGCAACGCCGCGUGAGUGAAGAAGGGUUUCGGCUCGUAAAGCUCUGUUGGUAGUGAAGAAAGAUAGAGGUAGUAACUGGCCUUUAUUUGACGGUAAUUACUUAGAAAGUCACGGCUAACUACGUGCCAGCAGCCGCGGUAAUACGUAGGUGGCAAGCGUUGUCCGGAUUUAUUGGGCGUAAAGCGAGUGCAGGCGGUUCAAUAAGUCUGAUGUGAAAGCCUUCGGCUCAACCGGAGAAUUGCAUCAGAAACUGUUGA
This 297-nucleotide ribosomal RNA is filed under the name uncultured Lactobacillus sp. RNAcentral describes it as "partial 16S ribosomal RNA". It matches the Rfam family "Bacterial small subunit ribosomal RNA", at positions 350 to 639 of the family's 1533-position model. The record is from RNAcentral. Lineage: Bacteria; Bacillati; Bacillota; Bacilli; Lactobacillales; Lactobacillaceae.